Tribolium castaneum (red flour beetle) is the source of this 748-nucleotide long non-coding RNA. RefSeq lists it as uncharacterized. The record is from RefSeq and is a predicted model, not a curated record. NCBI's taxonomy places the organism in Eukaryota, Metazoa, Arthropoda, Insecta, Coleoptera, Tenebrionidae. The transcript is spliced from 3 exons.
GAUUGUAUGCUAAUAAAAAUGAUCAACAAUGUUUGUCUUAACGUAACGCCAGCGAUUUGGGCGAACAAUCGAGCUCGCCAUAUUAACAUUCUUAAUUGAUUCCGCAGUUUAUGUGAAAGGGUGAUGUUAAGCCAGACCCAACACUUGAAUAUUUAUGACACUGGUUUUAGAAUGCUAAAAUAUGCAUUUUGUCAGACUUGGACUUAGUGGUGCCUUCUGUAAAUUUCGUUGCUGUACACAUUAUUUGCAUAUUUAUCGUCUGCACUCAAAAUCUAUAAUUUGCACGAAUUCAGUUAUCACUUUCGACCGUGUCAGGAAAUUUGUACGAGUGCUUUAAACCUGCCAUGUGUAUGCGUGAUAUGGCCUUUUGUUAUUCUUACUUUAGUGCGUUGGAGGAACCGCAGCUGUUAUAUAGUGACACGGCGAGCGAACUUGUGAUAAAAGUAAUAAAGGAAAUAAAUUUAUACGUUUCGCACAAAAUAUUACAUACAUUUUCCCAACUGAUGACAUAUCUGGUAUUAGGUUGCACUUCAAAAACUGUCAUUGUUAAUAUGGGUUUGAUUGCAAUUUGUCUCCAAAAACGUGUCGAAGGGGAAAACCGGGGGCACCCCACUAUAUGAACUGUGGCUAGACCAAUAUCCAACAGCACAUAACUUUAAUUUUGAUCCAUGAGCAGACUUAGCUUUCAUUCAUGUAUCUCAGGAAUGAAAUAUAAAACCUUCUGAAAAAUGUGUUUUACUUAUUUUCC